Long non-coding RNA from Quercus robur (English oak), 1494 nucleotides. RefSeq lists it as uncharacterized. The record is from RefSeq and is a predicted model, not a curated record. Lineage: Eukaryota; Viridiplantae; Streptophyta; Magnoliopsida; Fagales; Fagaceae. The transcript is spliced from 2 exons.
UGCCUGCUCGAGCUAGCUAAGGUUUUGGGUCUCUUUAGUGAUUUUUGAGAAGCUAGGAAGGAGUGGCUUUUCUGGUAAGCCCUCUAGCCAUUCUUUGAGAGCUAAGCAGAUUGUGACUUUCUUUCAAGCAAAAUGGCAAUUGUGUGGGAGCAUUUUAUGAUGCUCAUGUAUUGAGCAUAAGUUAAGAGUAGAGAGAGUUUGUGGAUCUGAGCUCCUGGGCAAAACAACAAAGCAGAUUGAGGUUGGCUUUUGCUUUUCAAGCUAUUAAUUAUCAAGCCAAAAGCAAUCACUAGAGGUGCAAUUUUUAUGUUUAGCCCAGUACCAUCUCUCUCUCUCCCAUUUGGCUCUUAAUCUUGUGCUCUUAUUUUUGUAUCCACUUGCCAUAGCCUAGAUCACGAAAGAACCGACGCCAUAUGCUUGAUAAAAUACCCUUUUUGUCAUCCCACUCUUUUUUCAAUUUCCAGAGAGUGUUCGUAGCCAUUCCAAUGAGGUUUACUACAGUCAAACCUUUAGGGAGUUGUCUUGGAGUGCUAAUGGUUCUGGCUUUUUGCAAGCAAGGAGUUGGUGGAAAAUAUCACUAUUGAAGAAUUCUAGAGAUUUUGGAACUAUUGCGGUAGGAAGGCAAGCAGGACAUUUGCAAAGGCUGCAAAGAUUAUAGGCUAACAAAGGUUUGCCACAUGGAUACAGGUAUGAUCAAACAAAUUUUCCUCUAAACUUAUCAUCCCGGUAUAAUUUAAGAGGAGAUUCACCACAUCAUAACGGCCAUGACUACAAGCCAAGAAAAAAGCACUCUUGCUUUCGGAGUUAAGCUUAGAAGCUGCCAUUGGAUUGGCCUCUAAUAGCAGCUUCAAGACCUCGGCCUUCCCUUGGCAACAAGCUUCAUGUAUUGGAGUCUCCAGGUUCUUAUUUUCAGCAGCAACCAAGUCCGGACACAACUUAACAAUUUCGGACACCAUGUCAACGUGUCCUAACUUUGAAGCAAGGUGUAAUGCAGUGUCCAAGGAGUCAGUUGUUCUUUGCUCAAGAAUUCCUUCACUUGCUUGAAAUAAACUGAUCAAUGUGGGUGUGUCAUUUAUCCUAAUAGCCUCUAGAAGCCUAGAAUCCAUCUCCUUAAGCUUCCAAUCUAUGUUAUGCUUUCCUACUAGGCUUCAACUUUAUGCUAAAAAGGAAAAAUAUGAGUUAAAAAGUUAUGUUCUAGUCGUUUUAGACACAUAUAUAGGAAAUUAGCAAUGAUGUCAAUUGGAAAUGUUGGUUGCAAUUGGAAAUGAUAGAGAAAUUGAGUAAGAAAUAAUGUGUCUAUUAAAUUCCUAGACAGUUUGAUUACUUCACGAUGUCAACUUCUUAGUGUCUUCUAGGAAUGUGUCUCUUGACUUCCUUAGGUCGAUCCUUAAGGAGGUCACAAUCUUUAUAAUCGAUGAGAAUCUUCAUGGUUUGUGGUUUAGACAUAAAAUAUGUGAAUAAAUAAUUUUCCACAUUUUUAUUCUUUCUCCGAAA